Molecule: ribosomal RNA, 931 nt
Filed under: uncultured bacterium
Lineage: Bacteria
Description: bacterial SSU rRNA
Rfam family: Bacterial small subunit ribosomal RNA
Source: RNAcentral
AGAGUUUGAUCCUGGCUCAGAAUGAACGCUGGCGGCGUGCUUAACACAUGCAAGUCGAGCGAGGCCAGGGGGGCAACUCCCUGAGUCGAGCGGCGGACGGGUGAGUAACACGUGGGUAACCUACCCGGAAGUGGGGAAUACCUCGGGGAAACUCGAGCUAAUACCGCAUGACAUCUUCGGGACGAAAGUCCUGACGAUCAAAGCGGGGUCGCAAGAUCUCGCGCUACCGGAUGGGCCCGCGCCCGAUUAGCUAGUUGGUGAGGUAACGGCUCACCAAGGCGACGAUCGGUAACCGGCCUGAGAGGGCGAUCGGUCACACCGGAACUGAGACACGGUCCGGACUCCUACGGGAGGCAGCAGUGGGGAAUCUUGCGCAAUGGGCGAAAGCCUGACGCAGCAACGCCGCGUGGAGGAUGAAGGCCCUUGGGUUGUAAACUCCUGUCGGCUGGGAAGAAAUCGUUCGCGGCUAAUACCCGCGGACGUUGACUGUACCAGCAAAGGAAGCCCCGGCUAACUCUGUGCCAGCAGCCGCGGUAAUACAGAGGGGGCCAGCGUUAUUCGGAAUUAUUGGGCGUAAAGGGCGCGUAGGCGGCCAUGCGUGUCUUCCGUGAAAUCCCUCGGCUUAACCGAGGACGUGCGGAAGAAACUGCAAGGCUCGAGUCCAGAAGAGGGGGGCGGAAUUCCCAGUGUAGCGGUGAAAUGCGUAGAUAUUGGGAGGAACACCGGUGGCGAAGGCGGCCCCCUGGGCUGGUACUGACGCUGAUGCGCGAAAGCGUGGGUAGCAAACGGGAUUAGAUACCCCGGUAGUCCACGCCGUAAACGAUGGGCACUUGGUGUCGCGGGUAUCGACCCCUGCGGUGCCGAAGCUAACGCAUUAAGUGCCCCGCCUGGGGAGUACGGUCGCAAGGCUGAAACUCAAAGGAAUUGACGG